RNAcentral lists this ribosomal RNA (357 nucleotides) under Triticum aestivum (bread wheat). Its description in RNAcentral is "partial small subunit ribosomal RNA". Lineage: Eukaryota; Viridiplantae; Streptophyta; Magnoliopsida; Poales; Poaceae. The record is from RNAcentral.
AUGCUCUUUUAUCAAGUGCUCAUGAGUGGCCAAGCGCUCCAGAUAUAUAACUCAAUAUAUGAUGAUGUUCAUUCCAUGGACAAAGUAUCAGUUCUUACUAAAGGGAAACAACUAGAAUUUUCUCUGCAAAUCUCGUACAUGGUGAUUCUUGAUUUAUCAACCGGAGUGAUCCCUGGAGAUAUUGGUUGUCUCAUUGGUUUAAGAGGUCUGAAGUUUUCAUGGAACAAGUUAACUGGAGAAAUCCCUGAGAAAAUUAGUGAGCUCAAGCAAUUGGAAUCACUUGACUUUUCAAACAAUGAGCUUUCCGGUGGAAUCCCUUCAAGCAUGGAAACCAUGACCUCUUUAAGACAUAUAUGA